RNAcentral lists this ribosomal RNA (747 nucleotides) under uncultured Leptolyngbya sp. Its description in RNAcentral is "bacterial SSU rRNA". It matches the Rfam family "Bacterial small subunit ribosomal RNA", at positions 413 to 1173 of the family's 1533-position model. The record is from RNAcentral. Lineage: Bacteria; Bacillati; Cyanobacteriota; Cyanophyceae; Leptolyngbyales; Leptolyngbyaceae.
AGCUUUUGGGUUGUAAACCUCUUUUAUUAGGGAAGAAUUGAUGACGGUACCUAAUGAAUCAGCAUCGGCUAACUCCGUGCCAGCAGCCGCGGUAAUACGGAGGAUGCAAGCGUUAUCCGGAAUUAUUGGGCGUAAAGCGUCCGUAGGUGGCACUUCAAGUCUGUUGUCAAAGCGUGCAGCUUAACUGCAUACGGGCAAUGGAAACUGGAGCGCUAGAGUGCGAUAGGGGUGACAGGAAUUCCCAGUGUAGCGGUGAAAUGCGUAGAUAUUGGGAAGAACACCAGCGGCGAAAGCGUGUCACUGGGUCUGCACUGACACUGAGGGACGAAAGCUAGGGGAGCGAAAGGGAUUAGAUACCCCUGUAGUCCUAGCCGUAAACGAUGACAACUAGGUGUGGUUCGUAUCGACCCGAGCCGUGCCGUAGCCAACGCGUUAAGUUGUCCGCCUGGGGAGUACGCACGCAAGUGUGAAACUCAAAGGAAUUGACGGGGGCCCGCACAAGCGGUGGAGUAUGUGGUUUAAUUCGAUGCAACGCGAAGAACCUUACCAAGGCUUGACAUCCUCGGAAUCCUUGUGAAAGCAGGGAGUGCCUUCGGGAACCGAGAGACAGGUGGUGCAUGGCUGUCGUCAGCUCGUGUCGUGAGAUGUUGGGUUUAAGUCCCGCAACGAGCGCAACCCACGUUUUUAGUUGCCAUCAGGUAAUGCUGGGCACUCUAGAGAGACUGCCGGUGACAAACCGGAGGAAGG